AUUCCCUUAAUUUUAACAAUUGCUGGUGAAUUUCCUAGAGGUACUGCUCAGUGAUAAUGAGCUGCUGAUUUGAGCUUACACUGGAGAAAAUGAAGAGUUGUUUCCAAAAAGCUAAAGCAAGACAGACUAAAGCACUGAGUGAUUGUAACUGUCCAGGUCAUCCGUGUAUUUGGACAGCUGAGUGCAAAUGCAUGAGAUCUGCAUUAUGAAGUCCUUUCAGCCAUGGGAUACUUAUAAAGAAGACUGAGAGGCUGGAAAGAAUUUCUGGAAAGGAUUUUCACUCCCAGAAUGAAAGCAGUGGGAUUUAAUUUCAGAGAAAGUAUUCCAACAGAAGUUAAUCCUGGCCUAAAUACGUGCAAUGCAAAUGAUGUGCUAAAGUACAGGAUAAAACCAAAAGCAUUGGCAAAGUUAAAGCAUUUAGAGUUAGGAGGAGUUGUGUCAGUGUUAGACUAGUUUGCUGCAGGCUACUUGCCAUAUGCUUUGCAAUGAUACUUGCACUUGAUUAAAAAGUAUUUCUAUAAGACAAUCAAUUAAUGUUAUUAAUAAUGCUAUUAUGAAUCUGACAUUAAGGAUCAAAGCCAAGCAGCUAGGAUGGAAGUCAGCUGCAGGUCGUGAAAAAUGUCUGCACUUAGGCAAUAAUGAAAAUCAGAAGAAUGACAUCUUCCAUCAGCUCUGAGCUUUGUGCAAGAUCAUACAGCUCCAAGUGAAGAAGAUUUUGUCCUGUUUGAUUCUGCGGUGCACCUGCCAGAUAAACUCUGUGUCAAAGUUUCCUUGAACUCAAUGACAGUAUGAUCAAGCUUUUCACAAAUCUAAUCAAAACAUUUGCAACCUGAGAACAGAGCUUCAUGUUACAACACUACGUAUCGUGGAUAUUCCUCAAGCAAUCAACUAGCAAAAUAACACUUGUUUUACAAUCUAAACUAAGCUGCCUGGUGAAUGAUUGCACUUGGAGUAUUGCUGCCAUCAGUGGAAAGUGCAAGACUGCUGUGGGGAUGACCUGCAGGGCCAGAUCUGGAGAAGGAAUCUUACAGUUCAUAAACAAGAUCACAAAAAAAUAACGUGCUUUGAUACCUCUUCCACUGAGGCUGCGAAACAUGAGUUACUGAAAAUACCACACUGCAGCUUGUGUCCACAAGGCUCAGGAGAAUGAGAUAAGACCUGACACCUGGGAUUUUUGCAACAUCUUGAAAUUAAUUGAAAGAUCCAGUGUUUGCCUGAGAGAAAGGGCUAUGCUGUGCUGCAAACAACUUGGAAGCAGGUACAGAAGGUUGUAUUGAAACAAGAGGCAAACCUCUCCCAGAGCAGACUGUAAACUAUUCCUGAGGUGGAAGAAACAUCAAUAUGAAUUGUUGACAGAAAAAAAAUCCUUGUGCUGCUCUUCUGCCCCAUUUUGCAACUGUGCUAUCCUGGCAAAGACUUUUGGAUUAAAUCUAUAGAUUACACUGGACCUGGCUUCACUCAAGAGACCGAAAUAUGCGACACUCCUUUGAUGAGCAGAUACACUAUAUUCAAUCUAUCUAGCAGCUUUUGUUCUGCACAGGCCAAAUCUCCUUCCAACGUUAGUAUUAUUUAUUAGCUCACGAGCUUUCCUCUGCAAGUCAUCACCAGGAGAUCUGAGAGCCUCUACAGACACUAGUGAGUCUAUUCUCAUACUGCGAGAGAGAGUGCUGGGAAAGUCAGAAGAAACCUGAAAUUUCAUGGUUGGAUGCCCAGUUACAGAUGUCUAGAACAUGUAUUCAAAGCAUGUCCAUAGGAAAUGUUUACUAAACGUAAUUUACCCAGCAUCAUUGAGCCCACUGUACAAAGAACUCUGUCAUUUUAAGUGAUGAAAGUACUUAUUUACAAUGCUUUACAAACAUACAGUUCGUUAGAAGUCUAAUUGGAGCUAAGGUUCUUCUGAUUCACCGCAUUUUUGGAAAGGUGCUUGGAUAAAAAAUGAGCUAAGAAAAUAUGCACAAGCUUUACAAAACAAAGUAACAAGGAGCUGAUAUUAAAUUACAUAUAGUACCCUUGAUUUUUGUAUUUAUGCAUCUCAAGCCACUACUCCACUCCAUUAUUACAUUUCCAGGUCUCAAUGUUUUCACUCAAAGUUCUGAGUACUUCUGAAAACUCAGUGCAGGCCCCACCCCCAGUAUUAGCGAUGCCAGGGAGCACAGACACGUGGUGUGGUGCCACCUCAGCUGUGAAUAGUUAACACUGUUAUAGUUCUAGACUUCAGCCAGGAAUGUGAAUGCUACCUGUGAGGGCAGGGUGCCUUGGGACAGAAAGUCCUUGGCAGGAGCUAAACCUUAAUGAGCUUAAAAUGUAUUGAAGAUUUUGGCAAAUACAAAGACAGGUCACAGAAUAGAUAGCAGCAGAAAUUUUCCUAUGUGUAAUGUUUAUAAGACAAUUAUUUACAUUAUCUGGAUGGUUUUAAUUAUAGGAUAGUUCAGACCAGUUUCUUUAAGUUUUCCCAAGAUAAUUAGUAACCCUGUGAAUUUGCAUAUUUUCCAUUGCUCUAUCGAAGCAAAUCAGCUAUACUUAUCAGAAGAUUGACCUGGCAACCUCUGUUCUUAGCAGAUUAUAGUCUGAGUUUCAUCAUGACAUCAGCAAGUAUAUUAACAAAUAUUCUGCUCUGUAGUUCUAGGGCAAGUAAACUUUGGGGCUCCUCAUUUAGGAUGUAAGAAAAUUUGAGACACGUGGUAAAAAGGGGCUGCAUGUUACAGCCCCUAUGGUAGCUAUGAUACAUUUUAAUUUCUUACAAAUGUGUUAAUAGUCUAGCCUCUGUCAGCAUGGUGAAAGGACUUGUUAAUCUUACUCGUAGUAAAAGCACAAUAAUCACAUAUACUUCAUAUUUCCAAACAAUAGACAGACUUCCACAUGAUAUAUGGACACUGCUUUUAGUUACGCUCAGAUUUAAUGAAUAGAAGAAGAUUAAUUCCCACAACAAUUCCUCCAAAGUAAACAGGUUUCACAAAUAAAUACACCAUCAUAUAUUUCAGAUAAAUAAUUUUCUGAUAUUUUAUUGGAUGUGUUAUUUUGGUUGGUCAUAGGAGGCACAGAAAUAUCCAUACCUGAGAUAAUUAGCCAUUUUGAUUUAAAAAUCAAAGCCAUCAAAUAAAUAGAAAAUACAAAAUACAGUAUGUUUAUAAGAAUUUUUUAUUGACGACUCUCAUAGAUUCCACUGGAAAUCUAUAAAAAACUUUUUUUUUUUUCAAAUGAAUUUGUAAAGAUUUAAAAUUUCACCUUACUCACAUUUUCCAUUGGUUUUAGUUCUAAUUUCAAUUGCCGGAGUAAUGAUUGCUUCCACCGAAAAAAGACGAUAAUGGGCAUAAAUCACAGUGAAAUUAAAUUGUGGUAGAUACUGAAAUAAAUAAAUCUUUUUUUUUUUUUCCCAAAAGGACCUAGAGUUGAUAUUUAUCAAAGUGGAAAAUUGGAAAAUGACUACUGGCAUUAUUCAAGUGCUAUCUAGCCUGUUUCAAUUGGUUAUCCAUGAGCCUAUCUACUUGUAUGUGAAGUGAAAUACGAACUAGACGAAGGAGAACAUACUGGAUUUUUAAAACUACUUUUGUUAAUAUUAAAGUUGAAAUCUCUGAAUACUUGGAGUAAGCAAGCUGUAUGGUUUUGUAUGUAAGGAGAAAAACAGUUAAUGAAUGAUAGGCGUAUUUUUGGAUAUUCUUGUCUAUGAAGCAGGUCUUACAUGAAGAAUCUGCUAUCAUGUAAGAUAUCAUAUAUAGGAAUAUAUGUAUAGAGACACAUGUACUUACAAAAGUCAAAGCAAACUUAGGCAGAAUAAUUUCCAUUGCUCUAAGUAGGAAAAAAAAAUAUGGUAAGUACUCUUUGUCUUCUUGUCUAUGCCUUUGCUUUUCCAUGGAAUUAAACUAAUAAAUUAUUUUCCUGCUCAUUGUAAAGCCCCUUUUACUUAGUAAGCAAGAUAUAUUUUUAUAAUAGUCUCUUCAGUCUUAAAAUUGGGAUUAAAAUGUUGGUUCUCAGACAGAAAAAAAAAAAAAAAAUGUGACCAGAUUCUCUUCUGCUGAAAAUCUCCAUCUGAGCUUAUGGCUGCUGACACCUUGAAGCAUUCCUAAGCAAGGGACAGAAUUGAGGAGGGGCUCAUAAUGCAUGCUUUGUCUGUGAUAAGGGUAUAUUCUUCACAGGGGAAAGUAGCGAUGAACUACUGCCCUACAAAUGUUCACAUGUUCACUCUAUCUCCUAAUACACCGUUUGCACAAGGGAAUAGGAUAGAGUGCUGGCCUGGAGCAAAAGUCACUUCUCCGUACCAGUUCUGCAGAACUCUACAUACCAGGUUCAGCUGAUCCUUCUGAAAUUCCUUGCUGAGCCAAGUUUUUCUACUUUGGACCAUCUGUGCACUGCAAACACCCUGCCUCCUUGCCUGUCUGCUACAUUGCCUCCCAAAGUACUCACGAACCAUGCGGCAGUAACGUUUUUCAAAAUAUUAUCCAUACUAAAUUUAUAUCCAAGCUAUAAGACACAAGAAGUAUCUUGCGGAUCUUUGGGGUUAAGAUGGGAAUGAAUGACCUUGAGAAGACAUUCUGUGGAGGGAGAGGGGCAACCCAGUAGUAGAACUUAAUCUGAAUCACAAUUAAUGCAAUACUACAGGUGAACAACCUUCAGUGUAACAACAGUCUGACAACAACAGCUAGAUAUUUACACUGAUGUUCUAAUUUUUAAUCUGUUUCUUUAGAUUUGCAUUAUUUCCAAACAGGAGAAUAAUUGUUUACUGUAGGUGUCCUUUUAUGAAUCAUCAACAAUGAGUGAAAAUUUACUCUUACUGCAAUCCUUUAAUAAUUAAUUAGUAAUAGGGACAUACAUGUUUAAGUGUUUUGCAUGUCGUACCUUCUGUUCUUGUUUAACAGAGACAUUUCACAGCUUGUGAAUGCUGUGCGAAGAAUAUUUUCUCCUCUUUAAAAUAAAGGAAUUAGAUGACUACUUCAUUUCAAUGUUCCUAGUGAAAUACAACCUUUUGCUGAAAAUAUCAAGAGUGUACAGAGCUCGCAAGAGUUUCAGUUUUCUGCUACAGGAAGCAGAGUGGCCAUGAUGGGGGAACAGAGAUGUUCUGUUGCAUGCCACAUCUCAGGUCAAUCACUGGCAUUGGCAUGGUCAGCAAACUCCACUCUCUUGUCCUUUUUUCCUACUUUUCUUUGUACUCUGCUGGUAAAUGCAUUAUAUUUUAAUUGGGUUCGUGCAGCAACAAGUGCAGUGGAUGUCCAGGUUUGCAAAAGUGCAUUAGAUACAUUAACAGCAAUCUAAAUAGUGACUAUUGAAUCCAAGUAAGAGUUUAGAUGUGUUACAGAUUGUUAGUGGGAAAGUAAAAUAAAAAAAAAAGUAAAUGGUUCACCUUAAGCUGAGAAGUUUUUCUUUCCUGAUCAGAAAUCUUCUUCUAGCUCUGCCAUUAAUCAAAUUAGUUCUAGUGGCAGUCAAUCUGCACAUGGUUGCAGAUUUUUUUUCCUCUGGAUUUUUUCCUCUUUACUACAUAGAACACUGCUCAAAACCCACUCUUCCACAGAAUGCUUGGUACUGCUUAGGAAUAUAGACAUAAUUGUAUUUAACAAACAAAGCUGAGCUGCAAAUCUUUAGUGAAGAUGCUUGUAUAUUGGAUAAGAUAAAUCUGCCUACUCUUACGGAAGAGGUUAUGGAUACAUUUCAACUGGUUAAUCCAUGCCAGCAAACACUUUGAAGUGUUGUGAAAGCUCAAAGAUAGAGAGUGCAGAGUAUUUGUGAAAGCAGUUCCAGUGAAAGCAGUUCCACUCAAUAUUGUUUAAAUAAUUAUUAUUCUCAUCUUAACAGUAACUGAAUUAAAAGUGGUGUAUCUUUUGCCCUUUAUUUAAACCAUGGAAAAAAUAGGAUAAUAAUAAAACUAUGCUUAAUCCAACAAAGAUCAGUAAAGAUUCUAAUGCCUCUUCCUUGUCCCACUUCCCAAGUUGUUUUCACCUGUCCCAGCUCUACGUCUGGAAAGUGAACGCAAGUAUAGUCUCCUGAAAAAACUUGUUUUACUAAAG
Meleagris gallopavo (turkey) is the source of this 5996-nucleotide non-coding RNA. NCBI's taxonomy places the organism in Eukaryota, Metazoa, Chordata, Aves, Galliformes, Phasianidae. The record is from RefSeq and is a predicted model, not a curated record.